GGGACACGAGAAAUCCUGUCUGAAGCUGGGUCGACCACGAUCCAACCCUAAAUACUAAUACCAGAUCGAUAGUGCACAAGUACCGUGAGGGAAAGGUGAAAAGAACUGAGGUGAUCAGAGUGAAAUAGAACCUGAAACCAUUUGCUUACAAUCAUUCAGAGCCCUAUGUAGCAAUACAGGGUGAUGGACUGCCUUUUGCAUAAUGAGCCUGCGAGUUGUGGUGUCUGGCAAGGUUAAGCAAACGCGAAGCCGUAGCGAAAGCGAGUCUGAAUAGGGCGCUUAGUCAGAUGCUGCAGACCCGAAACGAAGUGAUCUAUCCAUGAGCAAGUUGAAGCUAGUGUAAGAACUAGUGGAGGACUGA
RNAcentral lists this ribosomal RNA (361 nucleotides) under Campylobacter coli. RNAcentral's name for it is "partial 23S ribosomal RNA". It matches the Rfam family "Bacterial large subunit ribosomal RNA", at positions 419 to 777 of the family's 2925-position model. Lineage: Bacteria; Pseudomonadati; Campylobacterota; Epsilonproteobacteria; Campylobacterales; Campylobacteraceae. The record is from RNAcentral.